Molecule: ribosomal RNA, 489 nt
Filed under: uncultured bacterium
Lineage: Bacteria
Description: bacterial SSU rRNA
Rfam family: Bacterial small subunit ribosomal RNA
Source: RNAcentral
GCAUGGGAUGUGCAAGCUUGACGAAGUAUUCUGCGUGAGGGAGGCCGGCCUCUGGGUAACAAAUAUUUCUCAGCAGGGAGGCCGGGAAAUUUACGAUCUCUGGAGAAAGGCGCCGGCAAAUUACUGCCAGCCGCCGGGGUAAUAUAAGGGGAGCAAGGGUUUCCCGGAAUUAAUGGGGUAAAGGGGUUCUUGGGGGGUUCGUCAGUUUUGCUUUGAAAUUCUGGGGUUCAACCUGGGACUUCCAUUGGUUAUGGUCAGACUAGAGUGCGGUAGGGGAGAUGGGAAUUCCUGGUGUAGCGGUGGAAUGCGCAGAUAUCAGGAGGAACACCAACGGCGAAGGCACAUCUCUGGGCCGUAACUGACGCUGAGGAGCGAAAGCAUGGGGAGCAAACAGGAUUAGAUACCCUGGUAGUCCACGCCGUAAACGGUGGGCGCUAGGUGUGGGGUACAUUCCACGAGAUCCGUGCCGUAGCUAACACAUUAAGUACC